Molecule: ribosomal RNA, 429 nt
Filed under: Pseudomonadota bacterium
Lineage: Bacteria; Pseudomonadati; Pseudomonadota
Description: Proteobacteria bacterium partial 16S ribosomal RNA
Rfam family: Bacterial small subunit ribosomal RNA
Source: RNAcentral
UGGGGAAUAUUGGACAAUGGGCGAAAGCCUGAUCCAGCCUUGCCGCGUGUGUGAAGAAGGUCUUCGGAUUGUAAAGCACUUUAAGUUGGGAGGAAGGGCAGUAAGCGAAUACCUUGCUGUUUUGACGUUACCGACAGAAUAAGCACCGGCUAACUCUGUGCCAGCAGCCGCGGUAAUACAGAGGGUGCAAGCGUUAAUCGGAAUUACUGGGCGUAAAGCGCGCGUAGGUGGUUCGUUAAGUUGAAUGUGAAAGCCCCGGGCUCAACCUUGGAACUGCAUCCAAAACUGGCGAGCUAGAGUAGGGCAGAGGGUGGUGGAAUUUCCUGUGUAGCGGUGAAAUGCGUAGUUAUAGGAAGGAACACCAGUGGCGAAGGCGACCACCUGGGCUCAUACUGACACUGAGGUGCGAAAGCGUGGGGAGCAAACAGG